UACGAAGGGUGCUAGCGUUGCUCGGAAUUACUGGGCGUAAAGCGCACGUAGGCGGGUCGUUAAGUCGGGGGUGAAAUCCUGGAGCUCAACUCCAGAACUGCCCUCGAAACUGGCGAUCUUGAGUUCGGGAGAGGUGAGUGGAACUGCGAGUGUAGAGGUGAAAUUCGUAGAUAUUCGCAAGAACACCAGUGGCGAAGGCGGCUCACUGGCCCGAUACUGACGCUGAGGUGCGAAAGCGUGGGGAGCAAACAGG
This 253-nucleotide ribosomal RNA is filed under the name uncultured bacterium. RNAcentral describes it as "partial 16S ribosomal RNA". It matches the Rfam family "Bacterial small subunit ribosomal RNA", at positions 524 to 776 of the family's 1533-position model. The record is from RNAcentral.